UCCAUUUAAAAUCAGCUUUUGAUCCUUAAAUAUGUUUUGUAGCAUUCAAAAUCCUGAACAAGUUUCAUUUUGACAGAAAUUUGACUUCAGUUCAAAUUUUGGAAGUAAUUCGUAAAAAACAAAAAGGAGUGGAUAGGGCCUGCUACAGUAACCGAUGAGGAUCACGGGCUGCACUGCCGCUGCGGCAGGCGCCGCUGCUCCGCACGCGGCCACGCACCCCGCUACGCAGCUACCUGCCUGCUUGGAGUCGCGAGCGUGUCCUGAUCCUGUUUAUGCCGGCCGUUUGACGUAUAAGGAGAGGGAGAGCCGAGAAACGGUGUCGUUUCUGCGACCUCGCCGCCGACCAUCACCACUGCUGCACCCAUAUUCCAG
RNAcentral lists this long non-coding RNA (372 nucleotides) under Sorghum bicolor (sorghum). RNAcentral describes it as "long non-coding RNA (SBIC_LNC016639)". The record is from RNAcentral. Lineage: Eukaryota; Viridiplantae; Streptophyta; Magnoliopsida; Poales; Poaceae.